AGAUUGAACGCUGGCGGCAUGCCUAACACAUGCAAGUCGAACGGGAGUAGCAAUACUCUAGUGGCGGACGGGCGAGGAAUACGUAGGAAUUUGCCCUUAAGUGGGGGAUAACCCGGGGAAACCCGGAUUAAUACCGCAUGACCUCGAAAGAGCAAAGUGGGGGAUCGCAAGACCUCACGCUUUUGGAGAAGCCUACGCCGGAUUAGCUAGUUGGUGAGGUAAUGGCUCACCAAGGCGACGAUCCGUAACUGGUCUGAGAGGAUGAUCAGUCACACCGGAACUGAGACACGGUCCGGACUCCUACGGGAGCAGCAGUGGGGAAUACUGGACAAGUGGGCGCAAGCCGUGACUCCAGCAAUCGCGCGUGUGUGAAGAAGGUCCUUCGGUAGUAAGCUA
RNAcentral lists this ribosomal RNA (396 nucleotides) under uncultured soil bacterium. Its description in RNAcentral is "bacterial SSU rRNA". It matches the Rfam family "Bacterial small subunit ribosomal RNA", at positions 26 to 432 of the family's 1533-position model. The record is from RNAcentral.